AUUGAACGCUGGCGGCAGGCCUAACACAUGCAAGUCGAGCGGAUGAAGGGAGCUUGCUCCUGGCUUCAGCGGCGGACGGGUGAGUAAUGCCUAGGAAUCUGCCUGGUAGUGGGGGAUAACGUCCGGAAACGGGCGCUAAUACCGCAUACGUCCUGAGGGAGAAAGUGGGGGAUCUUCGGACCUCGCGCUAUCAGAUGAGCCUAGGUCGGAUUAGCUAGUUGGUGGGGUAAAGGCCUACCAAGGCGACGAUCCGUAACUGGUCUGAGAGGAUGAUCAGUCACACUGGAACUGAGACACGGUCCAGGCUCCUACGGGAGGCAGCAGUGGGGAAGAUUGGACAAUGGGCGGAAGCCUGAUCCAGCCAUGCCGCGUGUGUGAAGAAGGUCUUCGGAUUGUAAAGCACUUUAAGUGGGGAGGAAGGGCAGUAAGUUAAUACCUGGCUGUUUUGACGUUACCAACAGAAGAAGCACCGGCUAACUUCGUG
Molecule: ribosomal RNA, 484 nt
Filed under: uncultured bacterium
Lineage: Bacteria
Description: partial 16S ribosomal RNA
Rfam family: Bacterial small subunit ribosomal RNA
Source: RNAcentral